RNAcentral lists this ribosomal RNA (506 nucleotides) under uncultured bacterium. RNAcentral describes it as "partial 16S ribosomal RNA". It matches the Rfam family "Bacterial small subunit ribosomal RNA", at positions 29 to 523 of the family's 1533-position model. The record is from RNAcentral.
AGUGAACGCUGGCGGUAGGCCUAACACAUGCAAGUCGAACGGCAGCACAGAGGAGCUUGCUCCUUGGGUGGCGAGUGGCGGACGGGUGAGGAAUACAUCGGAAUCUACUCUGUCGUGGGGGAUAACGUAGGGAAACUUACGCUAAUACCGCAUACGAACUACGGGUGAAAGCAGGGGAUCUUCGGACCUUGCGCGACUGAAUGAGCCGAUGUCGGAGUAGCUAGUUGGCGGGGUAAAGGCCCACCAAGGCGACGAUCCGUAGCUGGUCUGAGAGGAUGAUCAGCCACACUGGAACUGAGACACGGUCCAGACUCCUACGGGAGGCAGCAGUGGGGAAUAUUGGACAAUGGGCGCAAGCCUGAUCCAGCCAUACCGCGUGGGUGAAGAAGGCCUUCGGGUUGUAAAGCCCUUUUGUUGGGAAAGAAAUCCAUCUGGUUAAUACCCGGGUGGGAUGACGGUACCCAAAGAAUAAGCACCGGCUAACUUCGUGCCAGCCGCCGCCGUAA